GUCGUGAGAUGUUGGGUUAAGUCCCGCAACGAGCGCAACCCUCAUCUUCAGUUGCCAUCGGUUCGGCCGGGCACUCGGGAGAAACUGCCGGUGAUAAGCCGGAGGAAGGUGGGGAUGACGUCAAGUCCUCAUGGCCCUUACGGGCUGGGCUACACACGUGCUACAAUGGUGGUGACAGUGGGAUGCAAGGGGGCGACCCGGAGCCAAUCCUAAAAAGCCACCUCAGUUCGGAUUGUACUCUGCAACUCGAGUGCAUGAAGUUGGAAUCGCUAGUAAUCGCGGAUCAGCAUGCCGCGGUGAAUACGUUCCCGGGCCUUGUACACACCGCCCGUCACACCAUGGGAGUUGGCUUUACCCGAAGGCGCUGCGCUAACCGCAAGGAGGCAGGCGACCACGGUAGGGUCAGCGACUGGGGUGAAGUCGUAACAAGGUAGCCGUAGGGGAACCUGCGGCUGGAUCACCUCCUUU
This 468-nucleotide ribosomal RNA is filed under the name Brucella anthropi. RNAcentral describes it as "bacterial SSU rRNA". It matches the Rfam family "Bacterial small subunit ribosomal RNA", at positions 1064 to 1533 of the family's 1533-position model. The record is from RNAcentral. Lineage: Bacteria; Pseudomonadati; Pseudomonadota; Alphaproteobacteria; Hyphomicrobiales; Brucellaceae.